This is a long non-coding RNA of Amphimedon queenslandica, 170 nucleotides long. RefSeq lists it as uncharacterized. Lineage: Eukaryota; Metazoa; Porifera; Demospongiae; Haplosclerida; Niphatidae. The record is from RefSeq and is a predicted model, not a curated record. The transcript has 2 exons.
GUUUACAUGUUGUGUGUUAUUGUUAUUAUAGGUCCAGUACAAUGAGUUAACAUGUCUACCUAAUAAUGUGAUCAAACUGGAUAAACUAUCUAAAAUAUUUGCAAGUCUCUCCUAUAUGUUAGGAAGGUUUGAGUCUCUUCAUUAUCUUCUCUUUGAUGUUCUCCUCUUAA